GUCGAACGGUAAGGCCCCUUCGGGGGCACACGAGUGGCGAACGGGUGAGUAACACGUGAGCAACCUGCCUCUGACUUUGGAAUAACAGUUGGAAACAGCUGCUAAUACCGGAUAUGACUCACCUUCGCAUGGGGGUGGGUGGAAAGCUCCGGCGGUCAGGGAUGGGCUCGCGGCCUAUCAGCUAGUUGGUGAGGUAAUGGCUCACCAAGGCUUCGACGGGUAGCCGGCCUGAGAGGGCGACCGGCCACACUGGGACUGAGAUACGGCCCAGACUCCUACGGGAGGCAGCAGUGGGGAAUAUUGCACAAUGGGCGAAAGCCUGAUGCAGCAACGCCGCGUGCGGGAUGACGGCCUUCGGGUUGUAAACCGCUUUCACCCAUGACGAAGCGAAAGUGACGGUAGUGGGAGAAGAAGCACCGGCCAACUACGUGCCAGCAGCCGCGGUGAUACGUAGGGUGCGAGCGUUGUCCCGGAAUUAUUGGGCGUAAAGGGCUUGUAGGCGGUCUGUCGCGUCCGAAGUGAAAACUCGAAGCUUAACUUCGAGCCUGCUUCCGAUACGGGCAGACUAGAGGGAUGCAGGGGAGAACGGAAUUCCNGGUGGAGCGGUGGAAUGCGCAGAUAUCAGGAGGAACACCGGUGGCGAAGGCGGUUNCUCUGGGCAUUACCUGACGCUGAGAAGCGAAAGCGUGGGGAGCAAACAGGCUUAGAUACCCUGGUAGUCCACGCCGUAAACGGUGGGCACUAGGUGUGGGGGACAUUCCACGUUCUCCGUGCCGAAGCUAACGCAUUAAGUGCCCCGCSUGGGGAGUACGGCCGCMAGGCUAAAACUCMAAGGAAUUGACGGGGGCCCGCACAAGCGGCGGAGCAUGCGGAUUAAUUCGAUGCAACGCGAAGAACCUUACCUGGGUUUGACAUAUGCCGGAAAGCUGCAGAGAUGUAGCCCCCGCAAGGUCGGUAUACAGGUGGUGCAUGGCUGUCGUCAGCUCGUGUCGUGAGAUGUUGGGUUAAGUCCCGCAACGAGCGCAACCCUCGUUCUAUGUUGCCAGCACGUAAUGGUGGGGACUCAUAGGAGACUGCCGGGGUCAACUCGGAGGAAGGUGGGGAUGACGUCAAGUCAUCAUGCCCCUUAUGUCCAGGGCUUCACGCAUGCUACAAUGGCCGGUACAAAGGGCUGCGAGACCGUAAGGUUGAGCGAAUCCCAAAAAGCCGGUCUCAGUUCGGAUUGGGGUCUGCAACUCGACCCCAUGAAGUCGGAGUCGCUAGUAAUCGCAGAUCAGCAACGCUGCGGUGAAUACGUUCCCGGGCCUUGUACACACCCCCCGUCAAGUCAUGAAAGUCGGUA
RNAcentral lists this ribosomal RNA (1342 nucleotides) under uncultured Actinomycetes bacterium. Its description in RNAcentral is "bacterial SSU rRNA". It matches the Rfam family "Bacterial small subunit ribosomal RNA", at positions 61 to 1416 of the family's 1533-position model. The record is from RNAcentral. Lineage: Bacteria; Bacillati; Actinomycetota; Actinomycetes.